Non-coding RNA from Agelaius phoeniceus (red-winged blackbird), 498 nucleotides. The record is from RefSeq and is a predicted model, not a curated record. NCBI's taxonomy places the organism in Eukaryota, Metazoa, Chordata, Aves, Passeriformes, Icteridae.
UGCACAGGGAAGAGCUCUAGGAAAAUUCCCUUGAGCAAAUGAAGCUUUCUGUGGGCCAGCUACGAGAGCUUACCGUCAUUUGUGGACAAUUCACUGUGCCUGCAACUUCUGGUAAUCAAAUGGCUGAUUGUUGUCAAUAUCUGCUGAGUGCUGACCAUGUGGAUCAUUGUGAAGAACAUGAGGCUGGAUCUUAACCUGUUCUUCUAGUAUAAUGCUAAACAGAAGAUAGCAGACAAAAAAUCCUAUUGCUGAGCCAAAAGUGAAGGUUAGAAGGUUCAUCAAAGACUUAGAAGCGGCCAUCUCCUGAAGGAAUCAAGGGGGAAGCUCUGAGGCCCCGUGAUGAAACAACGUAAAUGCCCUUUGAGAGCUGCAUGAUCAGCAAUGAAAUUGAUCUCUACCACCACGUCCUUACCAGUCAAGCAACACAUCAGAAUAAUUCGACCAAAACGUAGGAAAAAACGUAGCUAGCUAUAAAUAAACACUCCUUCUGUUCCUGAA